CAGGACGAACGCUGGCGGCGUGCCUAACACAUGCAAGUCGAGCGAGGAGAGUCCCUCGGGGAUGAACCUAGCGGCGGACGGGUGAGUAACACGUGGGCAACCUGCCUUAUAGAGGGGAAUAGCCUUCCGAAAGGAAGAUUAAUACCGCAUAACAUUACAUUUUCGCAUGAAGAAGUAAUUAAAGGAGUAAUCCGCUAUAAGAUGGGCCCGCGGCGCAUUAGCUAGUUGGUGAGGUAACGGUUCACCAAGGCGACGAUGCGUAGCCGACCUGAGAGGGUGAUCGGCCACAUUGGGACUGAGACACGGCCCAGACUCCUACGGGAGGCAGCAGUGGGGAAUAUUGCACAAUGGGGGAAACCCUGAUGCCAGCAACGCCGCGUGAGUGAUGAAGGUCUUCGGAUCGUAAAGCUCUGUCUUCAGGGACGAUAAUGACGGUACCUGAGGAGGAAGCCACGGCUAACUACGUGCCAGCCGCCGC
Molecule: ribosomal RNA, 478 nt
Filed under: uncultured bacterium
Lineage: Bacteria
Description: bacterial SSU rRNA
Rfam family: Bacterial small subunit ribosomal RNA
Source: RNAcentral